This 467-nucleotide ribosomal RNA is filed under the name uncultured bacterium. RNAcentral's name for it is "partial 16S ribosomal RNA". It matches the Rfam family "Bacterial small subunit ribosomal RNA", at positions 29 to 507 of the family's 1533-position model. The record is from RNAcentral.
ACGAACGCUGGCGGCGUGCUUAACACAUGCAAGUCGAACGGAAAGGCCCUGCUUUUGUGGGGUGCUCGCGUGGCGAACGGGUGAGUAACACGUGAGUAACCUGCCCUUGACUUUGGGAUAACUUCAGGAAACUGGGGCUAAUACCGGAUAGGAGCUCCUGCUUCCUGGUGGGGGUUGGAAAGUUUCGGCGGUUGGGGAUGGACUCGCGGCUUAUCAGCUUGUUGGUGGGGUAGUGGCUUACCAAGGCUUUGACGGGUAGCCGGCCUGAGAGGGUGACCGGCCACAUUGGGACUGAGAUACGGCCCAGACUCCUACGGGAGGCAGCAGUGGGGAAUAUUGCACAAUGGGCGGAAGCCUGAUGCAGCAACGCCGCGUGCGGGAUGACGGCCUUCGGGUUGUAAACCGCUUUCGCCUGUGACGAAGCGUGAGUGACGGUAAUGGGUAAAGAAGCACCGGCUAACUACGUG